GUACACCCAGUCUUCCAUGUUUCACAGCUAAAGGGACAUGUUCCAGAUCACACCCCAGUGUUCACCUCUUUACCAGUACCUGUGGAUCUAUCAGUACCAGGUGUGGUGCCGGAGGAAAUUCUUGAUCGGCGGCUGGUGAAGAAGAAGAACACAGCCCAUUUACAGAUCUUGGUGAAAUGGGCGACACUUCCUGCUGCAUCAGCAACCUGGGAGGAUUACGACAUCCUCAAGUUGAAGUUUCCAAGUGCACCAGUUUGGGGACAAGCUGGUUCUUCAAGGGAGGGUACUGUAAGUAGUACAGAGCAGGCGAUCGUGAGGACCAAGUCUUCGGGCGGGAGAAAGCAGAGUUAA
Molecule: ribosomal RNA, 351 nt
Filed under: Triticum aestivum (bread wheat)
Lineage: Eukaryota; Viridiplantae; Streptophyta; Magnoliopsida; Poales; Poaceae
Description: partial small subunit ribosomal RNA
Source: RNAcentral